UGGAUGAGACCAGAAUGGUGCAGCAACAAGAGUCACUUUUUUUGCUACAUGCAUGCGGUCCUUCAAAAUAAAGUACCGUCUUCAUCGAAAAACCACUCACAACUAGCGCAUUCAUCUGCGUGCUAUAGCUCCGAAUGCCGUACGAGAACAAUCUGCCCCACGACCGACUCCCCUAUUCACCAUGUCCCUUCGACUGGACGUCAAGCCGAGAACCGGCGCCCCGAAACCCGCCGGCUGUCCGACCCGCUGACAUCCCCCGGCCCUCGGCGUUGUUGUGCUGACAGCGAGGGCGCAUGAAUAUUUAUGGCGCUCCCUGACGAGCAUGUGGACGGACAUGCAUGUUUAUACAUCUGCACCUCACUGCUGGGGUUGGAUGGGUUUUUUAAAAGCUGUGUUAAUCCACUGAUGUGUUUAUGUUUGGACUGCAAAAAUAAAAAUGUAUAUU
Molecule: long non-coding RNA, 445 nt
Organism: Pseudoliparis swirei
Lineage: Eukaryota; Metazoa; Chordata; Actinopteri; Perciformes; Liparidae
Exons: 3
Source: RefSeq, a predicted model, not a curated record